Molecule: non-coding RNA, 230 nt
Organism: Pelobates cultripes (western spadefoot toad)
Lineage: Eukaryota; Metazoa; Chordata; Amphibia; Anura; Pelobatidae
Source: the annotation of a GenBank genome assembly
CACAGAUCCAGCAUACACCCAUCAAUAGAAGGCAGUAUUCUUCCAGGACCUGUUGGUGUGCUCACAUAUCGGAGCCGUCCACAGUGCACGUCCCUUUGGAGUGAGUCUUCUGUUGGGACGCACGCUGAAAAUCACGCUGUCCUCACCAGCUGUUACAACACAAGCGGCAACUUAUGAAUACAAUCCAUAUCCAUCCGAGCAUAAUCCAAAGGUCUCUGCACACUUCUGAC